AACGAACGCUGGCGGCAGGCUUAACACAUGCAAGUCGAACGCCCCGCAAGGGAGUGGCAGACGGGUGAGUAACGCGUGGGAAUCUACCUAGUUCUACGGAACAACAGUUGGAAACGACUGCUAAUACCGUAUACGCCCGUAUGGGGGAAAGAUUUAAUCGGAAUUAGAUGAGCCCGCGUAAGAUUAGCUAGUUGGUGGGGUAAUGGCCUACCAAGGCGACGAUCUUUAGCUGGUCUGAGAGGA
This 243-nucleotide ribosomal RNA is filed under the name uncultured bacterium. Its description in RNAcentral is "partial 16S ribosomal RNA". It matches the Rfam family "Bacterial small subunit ribosomal RNA", at positions 29 to 300 of the family's 1533-position model. The record is from RNAcentral.